RNAcentral lists this ribosomal RNA (499 nucleotides) under Paenibacillaceae bacterium CL6.38. RNAcentral describes it as "bacterial SSU rRNA". It matches the Rfam family "Bacterial small subunit ribosomal RNA", at positions 22 to 497 of the family's 1533-position model. The record is from RNAcentral. Lineage: Bacteria; Bacillati; Bacillota; Bacilli; Caryophanales; Paenibacillaceae.
GCUCAGGACGAACGCUGGCGGCAUGCCUAAUACAUGCAAGUCGAGCGGAGUUUGAAUGGAAGCUUGCUUCCAUUCUUACUUAGCGGCGGACGGGUGAGUAACACGUAGGCAACCUGCCCUCAAGACUGGGAUAACUACCGGAAACGGUAGCUAAUACCGGAUAAUUUCUUUCCUCUCCUGAAGAGAGAAUGAAAGGCGGAGCAAUCUGCCACUUGGGGAUGGGCCUGCGGCGCAUUAGCUAGUUGGUGGGGUAACGGCUCACCAAGGCGACGAUGCGUAGCCGACCUGAGAGGGUGAACGGCCACACUGGGACUGAGACACGGCCCAGACUCCUACGGGAGGCAGCAGUAGGGAAUCUUCCGCAAUGGGCGAAAGCCUGACGGAGCAAUGCCGCGUGAGUGAUGAAGGUUUUCGGAUCGUAAAGCUCUGUUGCCAGGGAAGAACGUCCGGUAGAGUAACUGCUACCCGGAGUGACGGUACCUGAGAAGAAAGCCCCGGC